CAGGUCCCAGUCUUCCUAAUGAGGCAUUGAAAGUCUAGGUGGAAUAGAUGCUUGCUGGAGCCUGUGGAUAUUAUAAAAGAAAGAGCUCACUGCCUUAAAGUGGUCAGGAGAGGCAGGAGUGAGAGCCAAUGUGAAGGUGUGGGAGUUGGAAGGAACUUGGAACUCAACUUCUUUUGGCCCCUCAACUUGAGAUUCACAAAGAAAAAAAGCAAUGUCUCCUCGCUGAAAGCAAAAUGGAAGCUCCUCCUUGCACAGUGCAGCCCCUUCCUCACUGUAGGUUAUUCCAAGUGAGAAGAGUAAACAUGACUUCCAAAUGCCGUCUAACGAUAUAUGCAUAUCUAAAGGAGACAAGGAUGACUGAAUGCAUCUUCAUGUGUAGGAAGUGAAGUGUCUGUUGACAUUAAGUACUUCUUCAUGAGUGAGAGGAGGCCCAUGAUGGAGAUGACACCAGUACCUCCUUCUAGCACUCUGAAUUCCCAAUGUUUACUACUGCUGUCUCUGAAACUGCAGCAUCCUCACCAGGACCACACAGGGAACAAAGGCAAGACACCUGAAAUCCCUUUAGCCAUAUUCACAACAC
This 580-nucleotide long non-coding RNA is filed under the name Pan troglodytes (chimpanzee). RNAcentral's name for it is "long non-coding RNA NONPTRT011550". Lineage: Eukaryota; Metazoa; Chordata; Mammalia; Primates; Hominidae. The record is from RNAcentral.